UACGGAGGGGGCUAGCGUUGUUCGGAUUUACUGGGCGUAAAGCGCGCGCAGGCGGCUUUGCAAGUUAGAGGUGAAAGCCCGGAGCUCAACUCCGGAACUGCCUUUAAAACUGCAUCGCUUGAAUCCAGGAGAGGUGAGUGGAAUUCCGAGUGUAGAGGUGAAAUUCGUAGAUAUUCGGAAGAACACCAGUGGCGAAGGCGGCUCACUGGACUGGUAUUGACGCUGAGGUGCGAAAGCGUGGGGAGCAAACAGG
This 253-nucleotide ribosomal RNA is filed under the name uncultured bacterium. RNAcentral's name for it is "partial 16S ribosomal RNA". It matches the Rfam family "Bacterial small subunit ribosomal RNA", at positions 524 to 776 of the family's 1533-position model. The record is from RNAcentral.